Molecule: long non-coding RNA, 1924 nt
Organism: Pezoporus occidentalis (night parrot)
Lineage: Eukaryota; Metazoa; Chordata; Aves; Psittaciformes; Psittacidae
Exons: 4
Source: RefSeq, a predicted model, not a curated record
GCCACUGCUUCAGGACUGAUCCCAAGGGCAGCAAGCGCCCAGCAGCUCCUACUCCUUCAGUCUCUUCUCUAUGGCAAAGAAAUGUUUGUGGUUUAAAUCUCAGGAAUAUCUAGAGUCUUAUAUAGUCAGUGUAGACUGAAGGGGUGUUUGAGUUACAUGGAUAAAUCACCCUCUGGAGACCUGCGAAGCUAGGAAUAUGUCUCAGAGUGUUUGGCUAGCCCACCAGCUCUGGAGGGAGCAGGUUUGCUGACAUAAAAAUUGGAAGGAUCUUCAGAAAUGUGUACUCAAAUCACCAAAAAUGUCCAGUUCUCAAGGAUGCUGAUCAACUCAUUAUUCUUUGUUUUGAUUCACAUGAAAUAUUUUCAGCUUGUGGUUCAUUUCCAAAAAACAAAACCAAAAAAGCUUGAACAGAGCUGAGGCUAGAAUCUAAGUCCAAGUUAAUGAAGCUGCCUCAAAGUUGAGGAGGGAGAGAAUAAACCACAGCUCUGAGGCACAGACCACUGGAGAUUCCUCUUUCAAACCCUGCCUCUGCCGCUCACUGGAGUUAUUUGAUUUGGGAACAAGAUAAGAAUUCACAAUAUCUCAUUUGUAGAAAUAACCUGGAGGAAGGAGAAGCAGUCAAAAAUACUAAUUUCAGAUAUAAUUUUUGUCUCUCAGUUUCCUAAUACUCUUUCUCAGCAUUAAUAGCAUUAACCAAAUAUAAAGCUCAGACUUGGAGGAAGUUGUGCACCGACUAACAAAUGCAUCUCCAAAUAGCCCACAGUUCAGCACUUCUUAUUCUGUCAAUACUCUGUGACCAGGGAAGGUUUGGAGCAUAAUUCUCUCCUACUUAUUCAUCUUCUCACUUUCUUUUUAUUUUUUCUUCCCUGAUAAGAAAUACACCUGGCAAUUCAUUGCUGAUUUCCCAGGAGUGUUAUUCAUGCCACUUUAUUUAUGUAUUUAUUAUUCAAGUGCAAACUACUGAAGUUCCUUGUGGUAACCUGCAAAUCAGGUUUUAUGGGGCUGCCCAUCACACCAAGUGCUGUAGAGCCAAAUGCAGGCAUUGCAGUUGCUAUUACCCCACAGUGAGGGACUGUAAGCCUGCUUGAUGCUCAGGACUGCCCAGGCCUUGACUAUCUUUGGGAGAGAAAAGUAGUCAGCAACCUUAAAUUAAUCAAAGUCUCUGCUAUAAAUGCCCAGCUGUGGUAGUGGAAUAGCUUGUCCUCUUUCUUCAGUGUUGGUAAUGUAUCAUUGGCAGGCAAUGGGCGUGCAUUUAUGGCUGACUCUUUCACAUGCUUAGACUUCAGGCUUCAGAUUUGAAGUCAGAGUGGUCUGUGAGAAGGCAAGGCCACUGUGCCAUUUAUCCGUUAUCCUGCUUCCCUCCAGGGGUGGUGAUGCAGCCAGGUAUUUCAGUGCCUCUCUUGAUGCUGAGCCCCUGCAGCCAAGGGGGACCAGGAGGCAGUGUCUCUCAACACUGGACAACUCAAGGAAGGUUUGUGGGGUGGGUAUGUGUCCUGCAGGAAAUGGCUUGGGGGAAACCACGCUUCCCAAGCCAGACACAUGGUGGGUAUUGCCUAUGGUGACCAUAACCAUGCUCUUUCUCUGAAACAUAAGACAUCCUUCCCCCUUCAGAGGUUCGGAUGUAUGUGCCGCCUGUUGUCACACACUCAGAAUUUGGGCCUCAAGUUUUAUGUUGAUUAUAGUUAGUUAUUAAGAUUGCAUUUUAAUAAUUUUCCUUGGCAUCUUGUUCUGCAUGCCUUCACAAGGAUUUAAUUGUCUUCAACAGGCCAUUUGAUACAACUGUGUUUUAGCUUGUUAGUGUAAUAAUUUAUUGUGUUAAAGUGUCAGAACUGCAACUUGGAGAAACCUACAAUAAGGCUGAUAAGAAAGGGACAAAGUCAACUUGGAAUGCGGUCAAUUGCAAAAUAAAAUUGUCUCAAUUAUA